CGAACCCGCGAAACCCAUUCGGAAUUCUUUUUGCAAGCAGGCGAUAACGACGGUGAGCUGCAAAAAGCUUUGAUCCGUCGGUUUCCGAAUGGAGCAAUCCGGCAGGAGAAGAUCCUGUCAUCCUAACGCCAAUCCAUAACGUUAGGAGGGGAGACCCGGAGAACUGAAACAUCUCAGUACCCGGAGGAAAAGAAAGAAAACUCGAUUCCCUCAGUAGCGGCGAGCGAACGGGGAACAGGCCAACAGUGAAUCACGAUUCUGAAAUCUAGCGGAAGUUUCUGGAAAGGAACACCAAAGACGGUGACAGUCCGGUACGCGAAAGAAGAAGGAAUCAUCACGAAAGAGUACCAUCGAACACGAGAAAUUUGGUGGGAACAUGGGAGGACCACCUCCUAAGCCUAAAUACGAUCAUGUGACCGAUAGUGAACUAGUACCGUGAGGGAAAGGUGAAAAGAACCCCGGAAGGGGAGUGAAAAGAAUCUGAAACCUUGUGCUUACAAGCAGAUAGAGCCCAUUUAUGGGUGAUAUCGUACUUUUUGUAGAACGGGCCAGCGAGUUAUGUUUACAAGCGAGGUUAAGCCUUUUAGGGGCGGAGCCGGAGGGAAACCGAGUGUGAAUAGCGCGACAGUUUGUGGACAUAGACCCGAAACCGGGUGAUCUAGCCAUGAGCAGGUUGAAGUUGAAGUAAAAUUCAAUGGAGGACCGAACCGGGAGCGGUUUAAAACGCUUCGGAUGACUUGUGGUUAGGGGUGAAAAGCCAAUCGAACUCGGAGAUAGCUGGUUCUCCUCGAAAUCGCUUUAGGGCAAGCCUCAUUGAGAGAUGGAGGGAGGUAGAGCACUGACUGGUCGCAGGGCACUCUGUGUUACUAACACCUAUCAAACUUCGAAUUCCGUUCAUUACCAAUGGGAGUGAGACGAUGUGGGAUAAGCUUCAUCGUCAAAAGGGAAACAGCCCAGAUCAUCAGCUAAGGUCCCAAAAUGACGUUCAGUGGAAAAGGAUGUUAUUUUACUUGGACAACCAGGAUGUUGGCUUAGAAGCAGCCAUACAUUUAAAGAGUGCGUAAUAGCUCACUGGUCGAGUGAAGUUGCGCCGAAGAUACACGGGGCUAAACGUCAUACCGAAGCUAUGGGAUGGAUCGAGACGAAAAGUAUUUUAUGAAAGCUUUCCAAAAAUUGAUGAGAAAUAUCGCACACAAAGAGUCAAAUUUCAACAAACAUGAGAUACGACAGAAAAAAGCCAAAUGGUAUAAGGUUAUUCCAAGAUAUCAUUCAUCAAUUUCAUUGGGCUAAUAAAGGAAGGCGUAUUCAUAGAAUACUUUUUGUCUCGACCAUCGGUAGAGGAGCAUCGACUACACAUUGAAGCAUCAAGGGUAACCUAUUGUGGAGCGUAGUCGAGAGAGAAUGCUGGCAUGAGUAGCGAGAAGGUGAGUGAGAAUCUCACCCGUCGAAAGCCGAAGGGUUCCUGAGCAAGGCUCGUCCUCUCAGGGUAAGUCGGGACCUAAGCUGAGGCCGAAAGGCGUAGGCGAUGGACAACCGGUGGAAAUUCCGGUACAGUAAAGAAUCGUUUGAGAGAAGUGUUGACGCAGGAAGCUACGCAAAGCGCGUUGAAGGUAUGCGCGUCCAACGAAGUAGGCUAGUCCGGCAGGCAAAUCCGUCGGAUGGUGCUGAGUUCGGAUGGGGAUCGAAAUUUAAGUAGAGAAGUUGCCGAUGCUACACUGCCAAGAAAAGACGCUAUCGAGAUUUUUUGCUCCCGUACCAAAACCGACACAGGUAGGCAGGAAGAAAAUUCUAAGACGCGCGGAAGAACCUUUGUUAAGGAACUCGGCAAAAUGACCCCGUAACUUCGGGAGAAGGGGUGCCAUCUUCGGAUGGCCGCAGAGAAUCGGCCCAAGCGACUGUUUACCAAAAACACAAGUAUCUGCGAAGCCGCAAGGCGAAGUAUAGGUGCUGACACCUGCCCGGUGCUGGAAGGUCAAGGGGAGUUGUUAGAAGCAAUUCGAAGCGACGAACUUAAGCCCCAGUAAACGGCGGCCGUAACUAUAACGGUCCUAAGGUAGCGAAAUUCCUUGUCGGGUAAGUUCCGACCCGCACGAAAGGUGUAAC
This 2103-nucleotide ribosomal RNA is filed under the name human gut metagenome. RNAcentral describes it as "bacterial LSU rRNA". It matches the Rfam family "Bacterial large subunit ribosomal RNA", at positions 59 to 2005 of the family's 2925-position model. The record is from RNAcentral.